CCUACGGGAGGCAGCAGUGGGGAAUAUUGCGCAAUGGGCGAAAGCCUGACGCAGCGACGCCGCGUGAGGGAUGAAGGUCUUCGGAUCGUAAACCUCUGUCAGCAGGGAAGCACGGUCACUGUGCUAAUCAGCAGUGAAUUGACGUUACCUGCAAAGGAAGCACCGGCUAACUCCGUGCGAGAAGCAGAGGUAAUACGGAGGGUGCGAGCGUUUAUCGGAUUUACUGGGCGUAAAGGGGGCGUAGGCGGUAUGUCAAGUCAAGGGUGAAAUCCCCGGGCUCAACGCGGGGACCGCCUUUGAAACUGGCAGACUCGAGUGGGAGAGAGGAAAGCGGAAUUCCAGGUGUAGGGGUGAAAUGCGUAGAUAUCGGGAAGAACAUCGGUGGCGAAGGCGACAAGCUGGCACCUAACUGACGCUGAGGAGCGAAAGCGUGGGUAGCAAACAGGAUUAGAUACCCCAGUAGUC
Molecule: ribosomal RNA, 465 nt
Filed under: uncultured bacterium
Lineage: Bacteria
Description: partial 16S ribosomal RNA
Rfam family: Bacterial small subunit ribosomal RNA
Source: RNAcentral